GAUUUAUAAAGAAGUGGCGAGAGACCGGCUCUAAGACCCACUGGCAACCAUCCGAAGCGUUCGGAAAAGGUGCCAAAUCCUGUCCCAGAUAAAUGGGAGCAUAUAAAUG
RNAcentral lists this non-coding RNA (109 nucleotides) under Sphingobacterium spiritivorum. RNAcentral's name for it is "Sphingobacterium sp. SAM-I sequence". It matches the Rfam family "SAM riboswitch aptamer (S box leader)". Rfam says of the family: The SAM riboswitch is found upstream of a number of genes which code for proteins involved in methionine or cysteine biosynthesis in Gram-positive bacteria. The SAM riboswitch acts at the level of transcription termination control. The predicted structure consists of a complex stem-loop region followed by a single stem loop terminator region. RNAcentral also lists the same sequence under 1 other name. The record is from RNAcentral. Lineage: Bacteria; Pseudomonadati; Bacteroidota; Sphingobacteriia; Sphingobacteriales; Sphingobacteriaceae.